This is a long non-coding RNA of Uranotaenia lowii, 410 nucleotides long. RefSeq lists it as uncharacterized. Lineage: Eukaryota; Metazoa; Arthropoda; Insecta; Diptera; Culicidae. The transcript has 3 exons. The record is from RefSeq and is a predicted model, not a curated record.
UUUGCUGGAAACCAGCAAUCGAUUUUCUUAUUGCUGGAUUUUUCAGCAUUCGGUUGUGUUCUUGUCAUUUUUGCUGGAAAAUCAGCAAUCGGUUUUCAAAUUGCUGGACUUUCCAGCAAUCGGUCUAGUUUGCUGGAAAAUCAGCAAUCGAGUUGUCAAAUUGGAGUCUGUUUGUUUUCGUACGCUGAAGCAAGCAACCAGACAUCAAGUCAAGGGUGGCGGAUGAUUAUCACAUUGGCACAAAGCUGCCACCCCGGAGGCGGUAUUAGUAUAUUGACAAAACAUAUGUCUCUGCUAAUUCAUUUAAUUCAUAAUAAAAAAAUGGAAGAAAAAUAUGUUGUUUAUUACUUAUCAUGUGCACAGCCAGUUUCAAUAUUUAAAUUUGAUUUGAAAAAUAAAUUUGAUACCAA